RNAcentral lists this ribosomal RNA (242 nucleotides) under uncultured bacterium. RNAcentral's name for it is "partial 16S ribosomal RNA". It matches the Rfam family "Bacterial small subunit ribosomal RNA", at positions 1258 to 1500 of the family's 1533-position model. The record is from RNAcentral.
CGAGGCGGAGCAAAUCUCAAAAGACCGUCCCAGUUCGGAUUGCAGGCUGCAACCCGCCUGCAUGAAGUUGGAAUCGCUAGUAAUCGCGGAUCAGCAUGCCGCGGUGAAUACGUUCCCGGGCCUUGUACACACCGCCCGUCACACCAUGAGAGUCGGGAACACCCGAAGUCCGUAGUCUGACCGCAAUGAGGACGCAGUCGAAGGUGGGAUUGAUAAUUAGGGUGAAGUCGUAACAAGGUAUC